This 490-nucleotide ribosomal RNA is filed under the name Fusarium sp. FsJ85PPB-L-Gurdaspur-3. RNAcentral's name for it is "eukaryotic LSU rRNA". The stretch from base 125 to 278 matches the Rfam family "5.8S ribosomal RNA". The record is from RNAcentral. Lineage: Eukaryota; Fungi; Ascomycota; Sordariomycetes; Hypocreales; Nectriaceae.
UGUGAACAUACCAAUUGUUGCCUCGGCGGAUCAGCCCGCUCCCGGUAAAACGGGACGGCCCGCCAGAGGACCCCUAAACUCUGUUUCUAUAUGUAACUUCUGAGUAAAACCAUAAAUAAAUCAAAACUUUCAACAACGGAUCUCUUGGUUCUGGCAUCGAUGAAGAACGCAGCAAAAUGCGAUAAGUAAUGUGAAUUGCAGAAUUCAGUGAAUCAUCGAAUCUUUGAACGCACAUUGCGCCCGCCAGUAUUCUGGCGGGCAUGCCUGUUCGAGCGUCAUUUCAACCCUCAAGCCCAGCUUGGUGUUGGGACUCGCGAGUCAAAUCGCGUUCCCCAAAUUGAUUGGCGGUCACGUCGAGCUUCCAUAGCGUAGUAGUAAAACCCUCGUUACUGGUAAUCGUCGCGGCCACGCCGUUAAACCCCAACUUCUGAAUGUUGACCUCGGAUCAGGUAGGAAUACCCGCCCCAACUUAAGCAUAUCAAUAAGCGGA